This 465-nucleotide ribosomal RNA is filed under the name Vreelandella stevensii. RNAcentral describes it as "partial 16S ribosomal RNA". It matches the Rfam family "Bacterial small subunit ribosomal RNA", at positions 338 to 795 of the family's 1533-position model. Lineage: Bacteria; Pseudomonadati; Pseudomonadota; Gammaproteobacteria; Oceanospirillales; Halomonadaceae. The record is from RNAcentral.
CCUACGGGGGGCUGCAGUGGGGAAUAUUGGACAAUGGGGGCAACCCUGAUCCAGCCAUGCCGCGUGUGUGAAGAAGGCCCGCGGGUUGUAAAGCACUUUCAGUGAGGAAGAACGCCUGGUGGUUAAUACCCAUCAGGAAAGACAUCACUCACAGAAGAAGCACCGGCUAACUCCGUGCCAGCAGCCGCGGUAAUACGGAGGGUGCGAGCGUUAAUCGGAAUUACUGGGCGUAAAGCGCGCGUAGGUGGCUUGAUAAGCCGGUUGUGAAAGCCCCGGGCUCAACCUGGGAACGGCAUCCGGAACUGUCAAGCUAGAGUGCAGGAGAGGAAGGUAGAAUUCCCGGUGUAGCGGUGAAAUGCGUAGAGAUCGGGAGGAAUACCAGUGGCGAAGGCGGCCUUCUGGACUGACACUGACACUGAGGUGCGAAAGCGUGGGUAGCAAACAGGAUUAGAUACCCCUGUAGUC